ACCAGGUACAGUGGUGCACACCUGUAAUCCCAGCUACUGAGGAGGCCGAGGCAGGAGGAUUGCAAAUUUGAGGCCAGACUGGGCAAUUUAGCAAGACCCUGUCUCAA
RNAcentral lists this small RNA (107 nucleotides) under Marmota monax (woodchuck). Lineage: Eukaryota; Metazoa; Chordata; Mammalia; Rodentia; Sciuridae. The record is from RNAcentral.